RNAcentral lists this ribosomal RNA (433 nucleotides) under uncultured bacterium. Its description in RNAcentral is "partial 16S ribosomal RNA". It matches the Rfam family "Bacterial small subunit ribosomal RNA", at positions 29 to 507 of the family's 1533-position model. The record is from RNAcentral.
AACGAACGCUGGCGGCAUGCCUAACACAUGCAAGUCGAACGAUACCUUCGGGUCUAGUGGCGCAUGGGUGCGUAACGCGUGGGAACCUGCCCUUAGGUUCGGAAUAACUCCCCGAAAGGGGUGCUAAUACCGGAUAAUUUCUUCGUACCAAAGAUUUAUCGCCUUUGGAUGGGCCCGCGUUGGAUUAGCUAGUUGGUAGGGUAAAAGCCUACCAAGGCGGCGAUCCAUAGCUGGUCUGAGAGGAUGAUCAGCCACACUGGGACUGAGACACGGCCGAGACUCCUACGGGAGGGAGGAGUGGGGAAUAUUGGAAAAUGGGCGAAAGCCUGAUGCAGCAAUGCCGCGUGAGUGAUGAAGGCCUUAGGGUUGUAAAGCUAUUUUACCCGGGAUGAUAAUGACAGUACCGGGAGAAUAAGCACCGGCUAACUCCGUG